GGGUUUGACAUAUAGGUUGUAGGGAACUGAAAAGGGACCGACCCUUCGGGGAGCCGUAUACAGGUGUUGCAUGGCUGUCGUCAGUCUCGUGUCGUGAGAUGUUCGGUUAAGUCCGCUAACGAGCGCAACCCUCGUCGUAUCGUUAUAUGUGUCAUACGAGACUGCCGGUAAAAGCCGGAGGAAGGUUGAGGAUGAUGUCAAGUCAGCAUGACCUUUAUAUCCAGGGCUACACACACGCUACAAUGGUCUGUACAAUGGGUAGCCAAGCCGCGAGGCGGAGCCAAUCCUGAAAGACAGGCCUCAGUUCAGAUUGCAGUCUGCAACUCGACUGCAUGAAGCCGGAGUUGCUAGUAACCGCAGGUCAGCAAUACUGCGGUGAAUACGUUCCCGGGUCUU
Molecule: ribosomal RNA, 396 nt
Filed under: uncultured Anaerolineaceae bacterium
Lineage: Bacteria; Bacillati; Chloroflexota; Anaerolineae; Anaerolineales; Anaerolineaceae
Description: bacterial SSU rRNA
Rfam family: Bacterial small subunit ribosomal RNA
Source: RNAcentral